GAUGAACGCUGGCGGCGUGCCUAAUACAUGCAAGUCGAGCGAACAGAUGAGGAGCUUGCUCCUCUGACGUUAGCGGCGGACGGGUGAGUAACACGUGGAUAACCUACCUAUAAGACUGGGAUAACUUCGGGAAACCGGAGCUAAUACCAUAUAAUAUAUUGAACCGCAUUGUUCAAUAGUGAAAGACGGUUUUGCUGUCACUUAUAGAUGGAUCCGCGCCGCAUUAUCUAGUUGGGAAGGUAACGGCUUACCAAGGCAACGAGGCGUAGCCGACCUGAGGGGGUGAUCGGCCACACGGGAACUGAGACACGGUCCAGACGCCUACGGGAGGCAGCAGUAGGGAAUCUUCCGCAAUGGGCGAAAGCCUGACGGAGCAACGCCGCGUGAGUGAUGAAGGUCUUCGGAUCGUAAAACUCUGUUAUUAGGGAAGAACAAAUGUGUAAGUAACUAUGCACGUCUUGACGGUAACUAAUCAGAAAGCCACGGCUAACUACGUG
Molecule: ribosomal RNA, 497 nt
Filed under: uncultured bacterium
Lineage: Bacteria
Description: partial 16S ribosomal RNA
Rfam family: Bacterial small subunit ribosomal RNA
Source: RNAcentral